RNAcentral lists this ribosomal RNA (569 nucleotides) under Streptococcus dysgalactiae. Its description in RNAcentral is "bacterial SSU rRNA". It matches the Rfam family "Bacterial small subunit ribosomal RNA", at positions 135 to 692 of the family's 1533-position model. Lineage: Bacteria; Bacillati; Bacillota; Bacilli; Lactobacillales; Streptococcaceae. The record is from RNAcentral.
AGCGGGGGAUAACUAUUGGAAACGAUAGCUAAUACCGCAUGACAAUGGAGGACCCAUGUCUUUCAUUUAAAAGGUGCAACUGCAUCACUAUGAGAUGGACCUGCGUUGUAUUAGCUAGUUGGUGAGGUAACGGCUCACCAAGGCGACGAUACAUAGCCGACCUGAGAGGGUGAACGGCCACACUGGGACUGAGACACGGCCCAGACUCCUACGGGAGGCAGCAGUAGGGAAUCUUCGGCAAUGGACGGAAGUCUGACCGAGCAACGCCGCGUGAGUGAAGAAGGUUUUCGGAUCGUAAAGCUCUGUUGUUAGAGAAGAAUGAUGGUGGGAGUGGAAAAUCCACCAUGUGACGGUAACUAACCAGAAAGGGACGGCUAACUACGUGCCAGCAGCCGCGGUAAUACGUAGGUCCCGAGCGUUGUCCGGAUUUAUUGGGCGUAAAGCGAGCGCAGGCGGUUCUUUAAGUCUGAAGUUAAAGGCAGUGGCUCAACCACUGUACGCUUUGGAAACUGGAGAACUUGAGUGCAGAAGGGGAGAGUGGAAUUCCAUGUGUAGCGGUGAAAUGCGUA